ACGAACGCUGGCGGCGUGCUUAACCCAUGCCAGUCGAACGGUGAAGCGCCUUCCUUUUUGGUGGGUGUGGAUGAGUGGCGAACGGGUGAGUAACACGUGAGUAACCUGCCCCCUUCUUCUGGAUAACCGCAUGAAAGUGUGGCUAAUACGGGAUAUUCUGGGUCUGUCGCAUGAUGGGUCUGGGAAAGAUAUUGUUUCGGUGGGGGAUGGGCUCGCGGCCUAUCAGCUUGUUGGUGGGGUGAUGGCCUACCAAGGCGGUGACGGGUAGCCGGCCUGGGAGGGUGGCCGGUCCGGCUGGGACUGAGACACGGCCCAGACUCCUACGGGAGGCAGCAGGGGGGAAUAGUGCACAAUGGGCGCAAGCCUGAUGCAGCGACGCCGCGUGAGGGAUGGAGGCCUGCGGGUUGUGAACCUCUUUCGCCAGUGAAGCAGGCCUGCCUCGUUUGUGGGUGGGUUGACGGUAGCUGGAUAAGAAGCGCCGGCUAACUACGUG
RNAcentral lists this ribosomal RNA (493 nucleotides) under uncultured bacterium. Its description in RNAcentral is "partial 16S ribosomal RNA". It matches the Rfam family "Bacterial small subunit ribosomal RNA", at positions 29 to 507 of the family's 1533-position model. The record is from RNAcentral.